UCUACGUUGUCGAAAGGGAAUUGUAACUGUUAAACUUUCAGCUGUCCAAAACAGCAAAUCCAUCACUUGGAAAUAAAGGCUCUUUAUUUGAAGCUGGGAAGUUGAAGGGAGAUUCACUUGAACCCUUGCAUGUGAAGCAGAUUAAAAAGCACAUUAGUACACCUGUUCCUCAUUAUUCAUAUUCAGUUCCUUCAGUAAGCAGUUCUUGAAAGUAUCUUGCAGUUGUCUGGCCUGAUAUUCCUUAUUUCUCUAUCUGCAAGGUUAGCGAUUGGUCCAUUGAUUCAGGAAGUGCAAGGCUUCUGGCAUGGGAUACAUGUUGUGACAGAUUUGCUAUAUCAGAGUCUGCGUUACCUCCUAGAAUGCCCAUUCUCCCCAAGAGAAGUUCAUCAAGAAAAGCAAAAGUAGCUGCAGCUGCAGCUCAGGCUGCAGCAGCAGCUGCUACUGCUGCUUCUGCUAAUGUCCAAGUUCGCGUUUUGCUGGAUGAUGGAACUUCAAACAUAUUAAUGGGGUCCAUAGGUAGCCUAAGUGAACCGGUCAUUGGCCUGCAUGGAGGGGCCCUACUUGGUGUUGCCUAUCCGACAUCUCGUAGGGUUAAGCCUAUGCUGCAACAGCUAUAUCAACAAUUCAGUCUAUGCUGUUGUCAGGAUUUGGAAGUACCAGAUCUUUUGCUACUUUUGAUGAUGGAUUUUCUUCUUAGAGAUCUCCUACUGAGGCAGUGCCUCAAAACUUUAAGCUUUUCAGUUGGGAGACUUUUAAAGCAGUAGGUGGUCUUCUCCCUCAGCCAGAGUGGACUGCAUGGGACCAAACUGUUUUGAGUAUUGUGCUCUUGCUUAUCAGUGUUAUAUUGUCAUCUGUUCCUUGUGCCCCCAGUAUAGAUACCUUGGAGAUGUUGCAAUUGCCUAUGCCACUGGAGCUGUUUGGCAACGGAGACAAUUGUUUGUGGCUACACCAACUACAAUUGAAUGUGUUUUUGUGGAUGCUGGAGUUGCACCCAUAGACAUAGAAACAAGAAAGAUGAAAGAAGAGAUGAAACUAAAAGAAGCACAGGCAAGAGCAGUUGCUGAGCACGGAGAGUUGGCUCUAAUCAUUGUAGAAGGUCCCCGAAUUGCUACACAAGAAAGAAUAAGAUUGAGACCACCUAUGCUGCAGCUAGUGUGAACACAAUCUCCCUAUUUCAGCCCAUCUUAUUUUUGCAUUUAUUUAAUGGAUUUGGACCAAGGAUAGGUCCAUCUUAUUUUUGGAUAAGUCUGCUUUAGUCUCAGCCUAAGUGAUAUGAUGUGCAGACACUCUAGUGUCAAUCUCUUCUUGAUGGAAAAGACGUCUUCAAGUCUGAACUAGUAUUCUCAUCAUGGUAGGAUGACAAAUCAGCAACAUUGAAGGUGAAAGAGACUUCAUAAGUGUCAAGAAGUUCUAUCUUGUAGGCAUUCUACCUAAUUCGUUGGAUAAUUCUAAAUGGACCAUCAAUCUUAGGUUGUAAUUUGUCAAACUUCCCUGGAGGAAACUCUCUUUCUCUGUUGUUAUAGUUGAAUGAUCGAUUGCCAUAUCUCUUCUAUGAGGGCAUCCCUUGGGUCAAUAUUGCUAGUCUGAACACAAAUCUUCCUAUUCCAACCUACCUUAUUUCUGCGUUUAUUUGGCGGAUUUGGACAAAGGAUAGGCCCAUCUUAUUUUUGGAUAAGUCUGUUUUAGUCUCAGUUCAAGUUGUAUGAUGUGCAGACACUUUGAUGGGCAAGCCGGCUUGGCAGAGAACAUCAUGAUGAUGUAGCAAAAUUUAUGCUUGGAAUGGGCUAUGCCACUGAAGCACUUCAUUUAACUAGCAUAUCUAAGAGGUUGGAGUUUGAUUUAGCCAUGAAGAGUAAUGAUUGAAAAGAGCUCUACCAUGUCUUCUUACAAUGAGCAACAACAAGGACAUAGGACAGGAUAAUCCCAGGUUUGGUUUGAAUGAUAUCCUUAAUUUGACAGCUAAAAAGGAAAAUCUGGUUAAGGCUGUUCAAGGAAUAGUAAAAUUCGCGAAAGAGUUUUUGGACCUUGUUGAUGUAGAUGAUGCUACUGGCCGGGCUGACAUUGCUCAUGAAGCUCUUAAAAGGUUAGCUACUGCAGGUUCAGUGAAAGGACCUUUAUAGGGUCAUGAGUUAAGAGGACUGCUCUUCGCCUUGUUAAUCAUGGAGAGUUGACACACCUGAGUGUAAGUUGCAAUGUUCAUAUCCUCUCUUUCAAACUGGUUAUUUGAGCUAUUUGAUGCUUGCUUGCUAAAAGGUUUUAAGAAUUAUAUGCUACAUAAGUACUUAACUCCAGUUACCUUUUUUUAUUAUUUAAAACUUUCUGUUCGAGGCCUUCAUCUCAUGUCUGAACCAUCUUAAUUAUUUCUCUCUUUUUUUUUCAUGUUUUGACCAACCAUUAUUUUUGUAUAUAGUUGGUGUUAUUUCUAAUAGUUUCUUGUAUACCCAAAUAUCUAUCUUAGUAUUCUCACUGUAAGGCAAUUUUCUAGUUGAAGUAAAUUAAAGCUAUCAAUUGAAAUUAAGGCUAUAUUUGGUACGCAAUAUUGUUAUAGUAUAGAAUAAUAUAAUAGUAUAAAUAAGAUUAGAUUAAAUUAUAUCUUAUGUUAUGCUUGUUUGUGUAAAGAUAAAGAACAAGAUAGAAUAUUAUUUUACCUUUUAUCAUGUUUGUUAUGUGUAAGAUUAAGAUUAAGAUAGGAUAAUAUUUUUUAUU
Molecule: non-coding RNA, 2706 nt
Organism: Durio zibethinus
Lineage: Eukaryota; Viridiplantae; Streptophyta; Magnoliopsida; Malvales; Malvaceae
Source: RefSeq, a predicted model, not a curated record